This 232-nucleotide ribosomal RNA is filed under the name uncultured bacterium. RNAcentral describes it as "partial 16S ribosomal RNA". It matches the Rfam family "Bacterial small subunit ribosomal RNA", at positions 99 to 334 of the family's 1533-position model. The record is from RNAcentral.
CGGACGGGUGAGUAGUGUCUGGGAAACUGCCUGAUGGAGGGGGAUAACUACUGGAAACGGUAGCUAAUACCGCAUAACGUCGCAAGACCAAAGAGGGGGACCUUCGGGCCUCUUGCCAUCGGAUGUGCCCAGAUGGGAUUAGCUAGUAGGUGGGGUAAAGGCUCACCUAGGCGACGAUCCCUAGCUGGUCUGAGAGGAUGACCAGCCACACUGGAACUGAGACACGGUCCAG